CCUUCCGUAGGUGAACCUGCGGAAGGAUCAUUACCGAGUUCUCGAGCUCCGGCUCGACUCUCCCACCCUUUGUGAACCCACCUCUGUUGCCUCGGCGGCCGCCCCGCGCCGUUCGGAGGACCUUCAAACUCCAGUCAGUAAACGCAGACGUCUGAUAAACAAGUCAAUGAACUAAAACUUUCAACAACGGAUCUCUUGGUUCUGGCAUCGAUGAAGAACGCAGCGAAAUGCGAUAAGUAAUGUGAAUUGCAGAAUUCAGUGAAUCAUCGAAUCUUUGAACGCACAUUGCGCCCCUUGGUAUUCCGAGGGGCAUGCCUGUUCGAGCGUCAUUACAACCCUCAAGCUCUGCUUGGUAUUGGGCUCCGUCCUCACUGCGGACGCGCCUCGAAGACCUCGGCGGUGGCUGUUCGGCCCUCAAGCGUAGUAGAAUACACCUCGCUUUGGUGCGGUCGGCGUCGCCCGCCGGACGAACCUUCUGAACUUCUCUCAAGGUUGACCUCGGAUCAGGUAGGGUUGACCAUCGCUGAACUUAAGCAUAUCAAUAAGCGGAGGAA
This 554-nucleotide ribosomal RNA is filed under the name Lasiodiplodia sp. BAB-4533. RNAcentral describes it as "eukaryotic LSU rRNA". The stretch from base 176 to 329 matches the Rfam family "5.8S ribosomal RNA". The record is from RNAcentral. Lineage: Eukaryota; Fungi; Ascomycota; Dothideomycetes; Botryosphaeriales; Botryosphaeriaceae.